UAGCUAGUUGGUGAGGUAAAGGCUUACCAAGGCGACGAUCUGUAGCAGGUCUGAGAGGAUGAUCCGCCACACUGGAACUGAGACACGGUCCAGACUCCUACGGGAGGCAGCAGUGGGGAAUUUUGGACAAUGGGGGCAACCCUGAUCCAGCCAUGCCGCGUGAGUGAAGAAGGCCUUCGGGUUGUAAAGCUCUUUCGGCCGGGAAGAAUUCGCAUGGGCCAAUACCCUGUGUGGAUGACGGUACCGGAAUAAGAAGCACCGGCUAACUACGUGCCAGCAGCCGCGGUAAUACGUAGGGUGCGAGCGUUAAUCGGAAUUACUGGGCGUAAAGCGUGCGCAGGCGGUUUUGUAAGACAGGCGUGAUAUCCCCGGGCUUAACCUGGGAACUGCGUUUGUGACUGCAAGGCUAGAGUACGGCAGAGGGGGGUGGAAUUCCACGUGUAGCAGUGAAAUGCGUAGAGAUGUGGAGGAACACCAAUGGCGAAGGCAGCCCCCUGGGUCGAUACUGACGCUCAUGCACGAAAGCGUGGGUAGCAAACAGGAUUAGAUACCCUGGUAGUCCACGCCCUAAACUAUGUCAACUAGGUGUUGGGUGGGUAAAACCAUUUAGUACCGUAGCUAACGCGUGAAGUUGACCGCCUGGGGAGUACGGCCGCAAGGUUAAAACUCAAAGGAAUUGACGGGGACCCGCACAAGCGGUGGAUGAUGUGGAUUAAUUCGAUGCAACGCGAAAAACCUUACCUACCCUUGACAUGCCAGGAACUUGCCAGAGAUGGCUUGGUGCCCGAAAGGGAGCCUGGACACAGGUGCUGCAUGGCUGUCGUCAGCUCGUGUCGUGAGAUGUUGGGUUAAGUCCCGCAACGAGCGCAACCCUUGUCGUUAAUUGCCAUCAUUUGGUUGGGCACUUUAACGAGACUGCCGGUGACAAACCGGAGGAAGGUGGGGAUGACGUCAAGUCCUCAUGGCCCUUAUGGGUAGGGCUUCACACGUCAUACAAUGGUUGGUACAAAGGGUUGCCAAGCCGCGAGGCGGAGCCAAUCCCAGAAAGCCGAUCGUAGUCCGGAUUGCAGGCUGCAACUCGCCUGCAUGAAGUCGGAAUCGCUAGUAAUCGUGGAUCAGCAUGUCACGGUGAAUACGUUCCCGGGUCUUGUACACACCGCCCGUCACACCAUGGGAGCGGGUUCCGCCAGAAGUAGGUAGCCUAACCGCAAGGGGGGCGCUUACCACGGCGGGGUUCGUGACUGGGGUGAAGUCGGAACAAGGUAGCCGUAGGGGAACCUGCGGCUG
This 1287-nucleotide ribosomal RNA is filed under the name metagenome. RNAcentral describes it as "bacterial SSU rRNA". It matches the Rfam family "Bacterial small subunit ribosomal RNA", at positions 242 to 1520 of the family's 1533-position model. The record is from RNAcentral.